AACCCUAAACCCUAAAGACCUAAACCCUAAACCCCAAACCCUAAAACCCCAAAAUCCUAAAACCAAAUCCCAAACCCCAAAACCCAAACCCCAAACCCUAAAACCUAAACCCUAAAACCUAAAACCCUAAAUCCUCAACCAUAAACGCAAAACCCAAAACUCUUAUAAAUCCUAAACCCUAAAUCCUAAAUCCUCAACCUAAAACCCAAAAAUCGUGAACCCUAAACCUUAAACCCCAAAAUCCUAGAUCCCAAAAUCCUAAACCCAAAAAUUCUAACCCCAAAAUCCUAAAUCCAUAAACCCU
This 304-nucleotide long non-coding RNA is filed under the name Elaeis guineensis (African oil palm). RNAcentral describes it as "long non-coding RNA (EGUI_LNC072069)". Lineage: Eukaryota; Viridiplantae; Streptophyta; Magnoliopsida; Arecales; Arecaceae. The record is from RNAcentral.